GCCCUGUUAGCUCAGUGGUAGAGCGCUGCGUUUACACCGCAGAGGUUAUUGGUUCGAGUCCUUUACGGGGUCCCA
This 75-nucleotide transfer RNA is filed under the name Rhizobium ruizarguesonis. Its description in RNAcentral is "tRNA-Val". It matches the Rfam family "tRNA". Rfam says of the family: Transfer RNA (tRNA) molecules are approximately 80 nucleotides in length. Lineage: Bacteria; Pseudomonadati; Pseudomonadota; Alphaproteobacteria; Hyphomicrobiales; Rhizobiaceae. The record is from RNAcentral. RNAcentral also lists the same sequence under 1 other name.